This 494-nucleotide ribosomal RNA is filed under the name uncultured bacterium. RNAcentral describes it as "partial 16S ribosomal RNA". It matches the Rfam family "Bacterial small subunit ribosomal RNA", at positions 28 to 507 of the family's 1533-position model. The record is from RNAcentral.
GACGAACGCUGGCGGCGUGCUUAACACAUGCAAGUCGAACGGUGAAGCGCCUUCCUUUUUGGUGGGUGUGGAUGAGUGGCGAACGGGUGAGUAACACGUGAGUAACCUGCCCCCUUCUUCUGGAUAACCGCAUGAAAGUGUGGCUAAUACGGGAUAUUCUGGGUCUGUCGCAUGAUGGGUCUGGGAAAGAUAUUGUUUCGGUGGGGGAUGGGCUCGCGGCCUAUCAGCUUGUUGGUGGGGUGAUGGCCUACCAAGGCGGUGACGGGUAGCCGGCCUGAGAGGGUGGACGGUCACACUGGGACUGAGACACGGCCCAGACUCCUACGGGAGGCAGCAGUGGGGAAUAUUGCACAAUGCGCGCAAGCCUGAUGCAGCGACGCCGCGUGAGGGAUGGAGGCCUUCGGGUUGUGAACCUCUUUCGCCAGUGAAGCAGGCCUGCCUCGUUUGUGGGUGGGUUGACGGUAGCUGGAUAAGAAGCGCCGGCUAACUACGUG